UUUGCAGGACCUCUACUGGCCCAGG
RNAcentral lists this non-coding RNA (25 nucleotides) under Rattus norvegicus (Norway rat). Lineage: Eukaryota; Metazoa; Chordata; Mammalia; Rodentia; Muridae. The record is from RNAcentral.